GAUGAACGCUAGCUACAGGCUUAACACAUGCAAGUCGCGGGGCAUCAUGGAGGUUGCUUGCAAUUUCUGAUGGCGACCGGCGCACGGGUGAGUAACGCGUAUCCAACCUUCCCAUUACUACGGCAUACCCCGUUGAAAGGCGGCCUAAUUCCGUAUGCAGUCCGAAGCAGUCAUCUAAUUUGGACGAAAGGUAUAUUCUAUCGGUAAUGGAUGGGGAUGCGUCCGAUUAGCCAGCCGGCGGGGUAACGGCCCACCGGGGCAUUGAUCGGUAGGGGUUCUGAGAGGAAGGUCCCCCACACUGGAACUGAGACACGGUCCAGACUCCUACGGGAGGCAGCAGUGAGGAAUAUUGGUCAAUGGGCGUAAGCCUGAACCAGCCAAGUAGCGUGCAGGAUGACGGCCCUAUGGGUUGUAAACUGCUUUUAUGCGGGGAUAAAGUUGGGGACGUGUCCCUUUUUGCAGGUACCGCAUAAUAAGACCGCUAUUCCC
This 489-nucleotide ribosomal RNA is filed under the name Hoylesella oralis. RNAcentral's name for it is "bacterial SSU rRNA". It matches the Rfam family "Bacterial small subunit ribosomal RNA", at positions 28 to 504 of the family's 1533-position model. Lineage: Bacteria; Pseudomonadati; Bacteroidota; Bacteroidia; Bacteroidales; Prevotellaceae. The record is from RNAcentral.